RNAcentral lists this transfer-messenger RNA (360 nucleotides) under Gemmatimonadaceae bacterium. It matches the Rfam family "transfer-messenger RNA". From Rfam's summary of the family: Bacterial tmRNA, also known as 10Sa RNA or SsrA, is named for its dual tRNA and mRNA-like properties. Its role is to liberate the mRNA from a stalled ribosome. Lineage: Bacteria; Pseudomonadati; Gemmatimonadota; Gemmatimonadia; Gemmatimonadales; Gemmatimonadaceae. The record is from RNAcentral.
GGGGGCGACUGGCUUCGACGGGGUUGGUGAAGCUAUGGCCGCGUGCCCAGGUUCUCGGAUCCUGGUAAAACCUUCGGGAUAAUUUUUACCUGCCAACAACAACUUGGCCCUGGCUGCGUAGUUCUUAGGAACUGCUGCACCUGCCCUUUAGAAAGCUCGCCUGAGGCGUUUUAAAGGGUAUCGCAAAUUCGGGAUAGUCGGACGUCACGCCUUCGGGCGUUCGGCAAAAACUUAGAAGGCUUGUCCAGCAGUGGGCUGCUCACUGGCCAGCGGCUGGAGACCUCAAUCAGUGGGAUACGCACGUAGACGCUGUGGUGAAUUCAGUCUCGGACCGGGGUUCGAAUCCCCGCGCCUCCACUU